Molecule: long non-coding RNA, 1317 nt
Organism: Bombus terrestris (buff-tailed bumblebee)
Lineage: Eukaryota; Metazoa; Arthropoda; Insecta; Hymenoptera; Apidae
Exons: 2
Source: RefSeq, a predicted model, not a curated record
ACUGAAUGAAGCUUCGCGAAAUAUGUAAUUGUCUCGCACACGUUGAAACUAAAACUAGUUGGAAACGAGUGUGAAUGACAAAACAGUGAUCGGCAGAAAGCUUAGCCUUUUCAAGGGCUUAAAUUUUAAAUAUUAGCCUUGACUCGAUUUCAUUAAUUCGACAGUCAUCGGUAUGUUUGCAAUAAUUACGAAGAACAGGAGUGUAUAAGAAAACGAACAUAUGGAGGGAGAGAAGAAAGGAGGGAGUGAAGAGAGAGAAUGGCAAGCGAAUGAACGCACUAUACAUUCAGAAUUUUCCGUCGAAAAUCAACCAAUGUAUAUGUAUUAUACGCAUAAAUCUCUUUUCGGGAACACUCCAAUGUUCUAUACUUGCUCGUUUCUACAGGUCACACGACAGUAACGAGGAAGAAGGGAGGCCAGUAGUCAAGCCGGCUGACUGUGUUUGUUGGGGCCUUUCUCACCCGACGGAGAGGUAAAAGAGAGGAUGGCAACAGAGAGAGCAGCUGCCACUGAGAAAACGGACGGUUACCGAAUGAUUUCAACUACUGCCGGCUUGGCGUUUCUUACUCCUCGUUACCCGCUUUUACAGAUGAUUCUCCUUUCUACAAAGACGCUUCCAUUUAAGUAUUUGUUUCAACAAAAAAUACUCACACAUACCGUGAGCAGAUCUUUGCUCAAUGCCACACGCUUGAAAAAUAAAAUAAGAAUAAAAAGUGUGGUUCGAUUCAAACGAGUUUUCAAUUACGAAAAAGAAUAGUGAAGAGAAUGGAGAGAAAAUGAUUCGGACCGAAAGAUAUAUUUGCUAAUAAUCACCAACUGGUUACCGUCGGUAGCCAUUUUAAUCUCAAUGAUAGCCAAUUUAUAAUUUCAACUCGGAAACUUCCACGCCAACCGGGAAACUCGUCUCGUGUUUCUCAAGCAGGAAUAACCGUUACGAUUCGUUCAAGUCACAUCCCUCGUAAGAAAGACACUGUGUAUGGCUAGCGAAUAUAAUCGCGACGGCCGUCGCCCACGAAACCACCGCUAAACGCUACCAACUAUCGCCUGUUAACUACUCUAGAUGAUACUACGACACCGAGUUUUUCAUCAUUUUGAGUGAAAUACUUGGUGCGCGAUAGGCGGAUGAAAAAUGUGAAACGAUUGAAUUACGUGUCCAAGUAGACAGCGAGGACACAAGUUUCUCGAAACCCGACGGGCAGCCAUCUUGGGUAGGCACGGCCAACUCUCGACUGUUUCGCACAAUUUUUCGCGCCUAAGAACGAUGUUUCAACCAUAACGUCGAACUGUAUAGCUUUCUGAAUAAACGUCUGGCAAAUG